GACGUAGGGCGCGAGCGUUGUCCGGAAUUAUUGGGCGUAAAGAGCUCGUAGGCGGUCUGUCGCGUCUGUUGUGAAAACUCGAGGCUCAACCUCGGGCUUGCAGUGGAUACGGGCAGACUAGAGUGCGGUAGGGGAGACUGGAAUUCCUGGUGUAGCGGUGGAAUGCGCAGAUAUCAGGAGGAACACCGAUGGCGAAGGCAGGUCUCUGGGCCGCAACUGACGCUGAGGAGCGAAAGCAUGGGGAGCGAACAGG
This 253-nucleotide ribosomal RNA is filed under the name uncultured bacterium. RNAcentral describes it as "partial 16S ribosomal RNA". It matches the Rfam family "Bacterial small subunit ribosomal RNA", at positions 524 to 776 of the family's 1533-position model. The record is from RNAcentral.